Cyprinus carpio (common carp) is the source of this 1381-nucleotide long non-coding RNA. The record is from Ensembl. NCBI's taxonomy places the organism in Eukaryota, Metazoa, Chordata, Actinopteri, Cypriniformes, Cyprinidae.
AAUCUAAAGUUGUAUUAUUAUGAAGAAUAUUAUGACAUGCAAAGUUAUCAACAUUACCUGAGACUAAUGAUGCCAAACUUAUAUAUAAGAUCAGAUUCAGGAACAUUCUGAGUUUCUAGCAGGUGCUUUAGGAGUAGUGACAGGUCUGAUGUGGAUUCAGUGAGUAUAUAAACUACCAGAGUGUUAUUAAGAAAAUAAGUGAUGCAUGAACACACUGCCCCCAACUGACAGGAAACAAAGCUGAUUCACUGUAACUGAUGCAUAGCAUCAAAGCUGUUGGAAUACAAUUUAUAGAAUUUAAUAGAUUUAUAUUGUGAUCUUAGCAAAUAUGUCUAACAGGUGAGCUCUCUGAGGGUUUUUGUGAGGUAAAAUGCACAUUUUUAGUCCUGUGCACGUGUAGCACAGAAGCACAUGCCAUUGACUUGAGCUUGUCUUGACUUUAGAGAACGAAGAUGUGCUUCUUUCUCUCCAUCUCCACUAACUUCAAAGAGCUCUGUAUAUUCAUUCUUAAUAAUUGUUUUUUUAUAAUACACAGAUCCUAUGAGUUUAAGGUCUGGAGCACCAAUCAGCUGCUGAUACCACAGAAUAGUGACAUAGUCAGUAAUACUGUGGCUGCAUUUGAGAUCCAACGUGUCAUUAAGACUCAACAGUACAGUACAUCUGGAGGAGGUGAUGUACAGUUUACAAAUUGUGGUGAAGAAAUGCACCAGGGUUUUUGUUGAGAAGGAAGAUAAGCCACGGCACUGUGUAUACUAGCAGCGCAAAAGUACACCGCACUGUCUUCAGCUGAAAGUCUCUAUAGUUUUAAAACACUGUUUUUAUUUGCAUCACCAUCCAGACUUAUUUUAUUUUCGAAUUUAUCUUCAACUGUAUCACUAGAACCCACAAGAUAUCCAAGCAACUCCAAACUUUCACCACGUUUUUGCUUGUACCAGAGCAUGACAUUGUAAGAAGAACUAUGAGAACAGCGGAGUUCUUCUGAUUGUCCAGAAUUUUUGAUCAGAUCCUUUGGAGUCUGAUGAAUGUCUUGACUAUUUGAAAUAUCUGUAAAAAAGGAGGGAAAAUAUGCAAAUUAUUUAAUACAGUCCUGUUUAUGCAUUUACUGAAUAAUUAUUUAUUAAUUUUAAUUUUUAAUAAUAAUAGUUAUAUUGCAUAGUUGUAAAAAGCAUGACUUCACACAAAAUGUGAAGGAUGUGUAUAGUCAUAUAUUUUAUACCUGAGAGACAGAUGAGAAAAGAAACACUGAUGAGAGUCCUGAUCAUGUUUACUUGAACGUUCAGAGAACAGAUGUGUGUGUGUGCAAACCUUCACUGUCACCUUCACUCGUUACCAUAGUGUGAUUGACAAUAAAAGUAAAGUUUGUUCUGAGUGUAAUGGUAAG